UUGAUUAGUUAUUUUUGUGUGUUUCAAAAUAAUAUAUAAAGUAAUGUAUUUUCUAAAUACUAUGACAGCACUAUAGGAAACGACAGAGUACACAAGAUGAAUGAGUUUACAUUUUAAAACUUCGACGGGCGUCUGAUAAUCCCAGCAGUAAUGCGACAACUAUAAGAGCUUCAACGUCCAGCAUACAAUCAUAAGACUCUUCCUUCAUGGAUGGCAAGGAGAAGUUCAUUUUAACCGUAGACGAGCACUGAAUUAUCAGGUUCUAAGACUCUUCUUCCGAGGUUAACUUCGAAAGUUCUUCAUUAGAAAUCCAAACACGCGUAAGUUGAUGACGUCAUUUGUUCGCUUUCAUAAUACAAGUUGAAUUUAACCUUACUCUUCAAAGGAUGCUGUUUGUAUAUUUUAAUAAGCUAGAAUGACAGGACAACACUUAAUAUAGCUCCUGGUGGCAAGUCUGAAAUUUGACGGAACUAUUGUAUUAACUUUUUGCUGUCUCUGUUGAGGAGAAAUGCAUAGAAAUGAUUAGUAAAGAAUGUAUUCUCCUUUGAAAAAUCUGGCCACACAAGUUAAACUAAAGAAGCCAGGAAGAGUUGGCUACUUUUAGUCAUUUGACUUUAAAGGCUAUAGAGCCCUAUUCUGAGACAAUGUCACAAUCUUCCACACACACAGGUUGAUGUGGCACUCGCUUUGGUGG
Long non-coding RNA from Biomphalaria glabrata, 694 nucleotides. RefSeq lists it as uncharacterized. The record is from RefSeq and is a predicted model, not a curated record. NCBI's taxonomy places the organism in Eukaryota, Metazoa, Mollusca, Gastropoda, Planorbidae. The transcript is spliced from 3 exons.